This is a non-coding RNA of Caretta caretta (loggerhead turtle), 4398 nucleotides long. The record is from RefSeq and is a predicted model, not a curated record. Lineage: Eukaryota; Metazoa; Chordata; Testudines; Cheloniidae.
CCCCAAUCACGGCUGCCUGUCGCGCGACUCCGUGCGUGCGCGAGUCGUCCCCAAUUGACAGCCCUCGGAACCACUCAGGGCGGAGCACAAGGCCUCGCCUUGCCGGCUGGGGCGGGGCUCUGGUGGUCUUAUGCGCGAGGAGGAAGGCUCCCGCGCCCCGUAUCUGCGCGCGCCUCCUUGCUUGGUCAAAAUGAAAAUGAAACGACAAAAAACAAUACAUCAAUUUUUCCACUCAAAGGCCUCAAAAACUAUCCAAGGUGAAGAACACAUCAAUAACCAAGAAUAUAUCAACAUGUCAUCUGAAGGUUCAAGUGAUGUAUCUACGUCCGACCAGCCCAAAGCACAAAUACAGCUACCUAUUGAAGAAACAGUGUCUCCUAAACCUAAAGGCAGUUCCCAGUGUUUGUGGGUCAAAGUGUUCCCAUUUAUUGAAGUUACAAAAGAUGGCUACUGGUGCACCUUUUGCAAAAAAAAUUUACGAAGAAAGCAAGCUUUCCAAUGCUAUAAUUGGUAAAAGUGGAGGAGCUUGGUUUGUCAGACUGAUCAGCAAAGCCAAUGCUGACAAACUACGUGAACAGGCAGUAAAACGCCAGGCCUAUGGGCUGUAUCAACAUGCAGAAAGCCUUAUAAACCCACUUUCAAAGCCAAUUUUAGAAGUACUUAAUGAGGCUGUUAAGAAUGCUGGAGACACAACACAGUUCAUGCGAACAAACAUGGCUGUGGCAUCAUACUUUCUACUUAAGCAAGAGAUACCACACACUACAAACUGGAAGCCAAUUUUAAGUGCGUUGUCACAUGUUCAUCCUGUAGUUGAACACUGGUUCCAAACACGACCAGCAAAUGCUCACUAUCUUUCUGCAAGAAACUCAACUGACUGGCUAGAAGCAUGCGGUUCAACAGUUGAAAAAGUGAAGAACUCUCACCACAUUCAAAAAAUUUCCAUACAUGGCUGAUGAAUGCACUGAUGCAAAUGGACAUCAAGUAUUAAGUCGUGUAUGUUAUCUUGAUGUCAGUGGUAGGCCAGUAGAUGCAUUUCCAGAUGUUCAAGUUAUAGAAGACACAUCGGCUGCAUCUGUGACAACCCACAUCUAGAGUUAAAUGCUUGUCAAUUGGACCCCAAACAGAUGGCUGCUUGUGCAUUUGAUGGAGCUGCAAACUUCUCAGGAAGACAUGGUGGAGUACAAGCUUUGCUCAGAGAGAAGUGCAACCCUAAUCUCUCCUAUACACACUGCAGAGGCCAUCUACUCCAGCUAGCACUCGUACAAGCUGUAGACUCUUCAAAAUACAUUUUAAAAGCUAUACAUUUAAUGUCUUCAUUAUAUUCAUUUUUCAGCAAAAGUCCAAAGACUGAAUAUCUUGGAAAAUAUAGAAGAUACACUGGGACUGAAGUUCAUAUUAGUCCAACCUGGGAAAACCCUCUGGCUUUCUUAUGAGCGAUCCUUGGCUGUUGUCUUAAAAUUACUCCAGCCAUUUUUACUGGCUUUGGAAAGUAUCUACCAAGAUGGGAUGGAUCUAAGUAGUGAGGCUUGUGGAUUACUUUUGCUACUACAUUCAGAAGACUAUUGCCAUUCUCUCUCUCUCAUAAGUCUGCUGUUGAAACCACUUGAGUCAUUAAACAGUGCCAUCCAGGCAUCUGCUACAACAGUAGUAGAUCUUUGUCCAGCAAUAGAAGCUACAUUUGGAUCAAUCAGAGAGCUAUCCAUUGAAAAAGUACUGGAAGAAGCAAAGACUUCAGUCCAGAAGUUGACUAAUGAAGGCAUUUAUAUUGAAUCCUUAAGUGAAGAAGACAAGAAGUGUUUGUUAAGACAACUGAAAAAGUACACAGACUUGAUUCUUAAAAAUCUACAACGGUGAUUUCUAGAUUCUACUCAACCUCUACAUAGCUUUUACUGAUGCCUGUCCUAUAAAACACCAACAGUUGAGUGGAGUGAGGCUCUACCAGCAAGGGGGCUGCCAUGUGCUCAGGACAGAACAGAAUUUGAACAGAGUGGAAUAUCAUAUGAUGAAUGAAUGAAGAUUUGACUUCAACUUCUUUUUUAUCAUCACUGGUGGCUAGACCUGAUCUUUGUGCUGUGUUUCCUGGGUUGAAAGAAGUAGGAAUUCAUCUCUUGCUACUCCCAAUCAUAACAGCUACAGUUGAGCGUUCUUUUUCAUCACUGAAUAGAAUUCUGUGUUCUGAAAGAAGUCGCCUUUUGCCUGAUCAUGUGAAUGAACUAAUGAGCAUAUCAACUGAAGGAAUGGAAGUACCGGACACACGAGAAGCCACCAAAGAUGAAUGCAUUGCGUUCAAGAAGUUCGUUAACAGAGUUGUACAAAAUUAUGACAAGAAACCAAGAAGGAUGUAGACUUAGUGCUUCAUAGACGGCUUGAGUAGCCAACUUUAAUUUGUGUGGUGAUUUUAAAACAUGAGUUAAAUCUAAUAAAAUGGUCAUGAAACAUUUUUUCAGUUUUUACUAUAGUGCCGUACAGCCCACCCUUCAGUCUCACCCCUCAUCAGCCCGGACACCCCCCCUGUAAAUUCGAACACCCUUCCCUAAUUUCAAUUCCUGGGGAAACCACUGGAAGGUCCUGGGAAGAGGAUAAAGGAGCUGGAGCCAGUGGCAGGAGCAGAAGGAACUGAGGCUGUGGGGAAGUAGCCUAGGGAAUAGGGACAGUGAGCUGGAAGGAAGAGGCAGCAGAAAGCUGCUGUUUGCAGGGGCCUGGAGUAGUGAGCGACCCUAUCUCCCUGCUGCUGAAAGAGUGGCCUGGCUGUGGACUGCUAAGCCGCUGAGAGGAAUGUCUGGACUGUUUUUGGAGGAGUCCUUCCAGAAGUGGGGGAAGCGGAUGGUGAUACAGCUGGAGGGCUGGGCUACAAAACAGAUACCAGCAUAAAGGCAUUUAUAUCAGCAUACCUUGUUUUGUAAAUUUUCCAAAACACACUAUAUUUAUCUAAUAAACACUUUUAUAUAAAAGUAACUUACCUAAUUCGGUGCAAUCUCCAGUGUGGAUGCAGUUAUACUGAUAAUAUGUGUUUAGCAAUAUAAAUGCAUCUGCUCUAGAAUGUUGCACUGAUUUAACUAAGUUGGUUUUUCUAUCAAAUAAGUUAAAUCUGUGCAAAAACUGAAUGAGGGCCAGCCUUCAGAAGUGAUCACUGCUGACUUUUGAAAGUGUUUGCAAAGUGCUCCAGGGGUUGAGUGCUGUCUCUGCAGGGCUGUUGCCAUUACGGUGAGGUUGCAAAGUGCUGAAUUCUGUCCCAAAUAGAUGUGAAGAACAUCAAUGCAAUGUCAGUCUCCUCCCUUUGUUUGUUUGCAUCUCUUCCCACUGCCAUUUUAUGUUGUUGUUGCCCCUUCUCUUAUUUUUUUCUUUCUUUCCUGGCUUUUCCCUUCCAUUCUCCUCUUCCUGUACACUUCUGGUUCUUUUCCCUCUUCCAGGACCAAUCAGUUUGAUAACUAUUUUAAUGGAUCUUUCCCUGUGAUAUGUGAGCAUGCAAGAUAUAAUACCUGGGAUCUGUGCUUUUACACAGAGUUUACUCUGAUGCGGCAGCAACAGCAUGAAAUGUAUGUGAUCCUACCUAGUUUUGUUCUUCUGUUCCUGGUGGGGAGCACUUUUUCUGGAGACAAGUGUGGAUAUAACUUUCCAUUCCUUCUGAGGAAAUAAGGAGAACAAUGGAAAAAACAACUGUGUGUCUCUUUUUCCUCAACAGAGCAUUCAUAACAGGAACACAGAAGAUUUCAUCUCUGCCUCUGCUGCUUUUACACUUAUCACUGAACAAGCUUUAUGUACUUGGGAGCAGCAGCAUAGGCAGGAUCCUAUGCUGCAAAAUUAAUCUACAGUCUCCACAGAGGUAUUUCUAAAAUGUGGUGGGAAACAUGGGCUUCCUGUGAUUUUUUUUGUAUUGAAUUUCAAUCCAAGAUUUAUUAUCUGAUUAAUCCAAUAAUCCUCUGAAUUGUUGGAUCUUCCCUCACUGUGUGAAAUUCUUAAUGUUAUAUUCUGAAGGAAUGAGAAACAAAUUUGAGUCAGUGACUUUUGGUGAAAAAAGAUAAAUGGUCCAAACAGCAGGAAUGAAUCCCACAUCCAAGUCAUUCCUAUCACACCAGCCAAGCACGAGACUAUUUAGCCUCUAGUGAUGCUGAAAUACAAGAGGCCUGGUUUAUAUUUUUCUCAUUUAUUUAUAUAUAUAUAUAUAUAUAAUUUUUAAAGUAGCAUAAAAUGUUCCUAAUUUGACCUAGGAUUCAUGAAUUAUAAAUGAUUUGUGUGAAAAAUUGUAUUUCGUCCAAAAAAUCUGAUGUUUGAAUAUAGAUUUUUAUUGUAGACCAUCCCAGAUGUAUGUUACUGGGUAAAUAAAAUUAUAUUGUUGACCAAAUAUGUAAUUAUAUUAUAUAUUGGAAGCAUCAUAUAAAUAACAGAGUUUGAAAAAGA